RNAcentral lists this non-coding RNA (31 nucleotides) under Mus musculus (house mouse). The record is from RNAcentral. Lineage: Eukaryota; Metazoa; Chordata; Mammalia; Rodentia; Muridae.
UUUGGUGUAAAUUUAGAAGCAACUUCUACCU